UCUUCAAAAAUGGUAAUUUGCUCCAUAGCGCCACCUACAAUAUUCAAUUAGGCAGCCCCAUUAGGCAGCCCCGGUGCUACGUUUGACCUACAUGUAUAACGCUGGGUAGGUAUAUGUAACACAAGUAGACGGAAAGAAAAGUCUCUUGGCACCAUGCUCUAAACUGUACCGGAUGUCGCCAAUAUUGAUUUCUGUUUCACUAUGUUUGUGCAAAGCUCAUCUCAUUUCCACAUACAGGUAUUCACCUGCGUUUCAUACUCCAGGCCAGCAGGUGGCGGUAAUGCACCAAAUAUAUGGAUGCAACUCGCUUUUAUACAUCAAGAAGCAGACGAACAAUAACACAGCGUGCUGACGCCGGCUGAUACUCCAGGCCAGCAGGUGGCGGUAAUGCACCAAAUAUAUUGAUGCAAACCGCUGUUUAGAGCAGAAGAAGUAUCACACUGCAGCUUUGCCGGCCUGGUCUGCAGUCUGCUCCGUCUGAGACGGUUACUCAAUGCUGUUCUACACGAGGAGCUCCAUGCUAAUGCGAUCCUCCAUUCAAAUAUAUAAUGGUUUCUCCUGUUCGCCAGUCGGCAUGAACACAUAAAUACUGUGGAUAUUACGUUACAUAACCGCAGUGAAAGAACGACACUAUGGAGAUGUUUGGACUGCAGUAUAAUGAGCAUGGUUGCCCCCAGUUCCUGUGGACUGGGACCAGCACAGGACCAAGACUGCCCGACCUCCUCCAGAGCAGUGCAUCCACUGCACAGUCAUCGUAAUGGACGUGGCACUAAGGAGGAUUGUCCAGCCGCAGAUGACGCUGAAGAACCGUUACAAGCCGCUAACACCAGUCUGCUUCAGCAGCUUGGUUGAAAUGGAGAUUGGAUGAUGCACUGUGCCCAACUAAUCAUACACGUGAUGCCUUGAGAGGUCGGGGUCAGAUUGCCAGCAGGUGGCGGUAAUGCACCAAAUAUAUGGAUGCAACUCGCUUUUAUACAUCAAGAAGCAGACGAACAAUAACACAGCGUGCUGACGCGGGCUGAUACUCCAGGCCAGCAGGUGGCGGUAAUGCACCAAAUAUAUUGAUGCAAACCGCUGUUUAGAGCAGAAGAAGUAUCACACUGCAGCUUUGCCGGGCUGGUCUGCAGUCUGCUCCGUCUGAGAUGACACUAUGGAGAUGUUUGGACUGCAGUAUAAUGAGCAUGGUUGCCCCCAGUUCCUGUGGACUGGGACCAGCACAGGACCAAGACUGCCCGACCUCCUCCAGAGCAGUGCAUCCACUGCACAGUCAUCGUAAUGGACGUGGCACUAAGGAGGAUUGUCCAGCCGCAGAUGACGCUGAAGAACCGUUACAAGCCGCUAACACCAGUCUGCUUCAGCAGCUUGGUUGAAAUGGAGAUUGGAUGAUGCACUGUGCCCAACUAAUCAUACACGUGAUGCCUUGAGAGGUCGGGGUCAGAUUGUGAGUACUCCUCCGUUUU
This is a long non-coding RNA of Pseudoliparis swirei, 1460 nucleotides long. RefSeq lists it as uncharacterized. The transcript has 9 exons. Lineage: Eukaryota; Metazoa; Chordata; Actinopteri; Perciformes; Liparidae. The record is from RefSeq and is a predicted model, not a curated record.